AACCUGGUUGAUCUUGCCAGUAGUCAUAUGCUUGUCUCAAAGAUUAAGCCAUGCAAGUGAAAGUAUAUGCAUAUUUUAUAUGUAGAAACUGCGAACGGCUCAUUAAAACAGUUAUAAUCUACUUGACAUUUUAUUAUAAGGAUAACUACGGAAAAGCUGUAGCUAAUACUUGCUUUAAGUGCUUUUUACUUCUUGGAGUAAUUAGCAUGUAUUUGUUAAGCCUUAUAAGAAAAAUUUUUAAUUAAAGGAAUUAUAACAAAGAAGUAACACAUAAUAUAUUUACUAUAUUUAGUGUGUAUCAAUCGAGUUUCUGACCUAUCAGCUUUUGAUGUUAGGGUAUUGGCCUAACAUGGCUAUGACGGGUAACGGGGAAUUAGAGUUCGAUUCCGGAGAGGGAGCCUGAGAAAUAGCUACCACAUCUAAGGAAGGCAGCAGGCGCGUAAAUUACCCAAUUCUAAAUAAGAGAGGUAGUGACAAGAAAUAACAAUAUAAGGCCAAAUUUUGGUUUUAUAAUUGGAAUGAUGGGAAUUUAAAACCUUCCCAAAAAUCAAUUGGAGGGCAAGUCUGGUGCCAGCAGCCGCGGUAAUUCCAGCUCCAAUAGCGUAUAUUAAAAUUGUUGCAGUUAAAACGCUCGUAGUUGAACUUCAAGGGUAUUAUUAUUUUAAGUAACUCACUUGGCGAGAAUCUUGGCUCCGCCUCGAUAUCUUCAUGCCUUGUUGUAGUUCUUUUAAUUACAGACCCUUUGAGAGCCCAAUGAUUUAUCACUGGGUUUCUCGUUACUUUGAGUAAAUUAGAGUGUUCAAAGCAAACAGUUAAAGCGUUUUCGCGUUUGAAUACUAUAGCAUGGAAUAACAAAAUUGAACAAGUCAAAUUUUUUGUUCUUUUUUCUUAUUUUGGCUUAGUUACGAUUAAUAGGAGUAGCUUGGGGGCAUUUGUAUUCAGAUGUCAGAGGUGAAAUUCUUAGAUUUUCUGGAGACAAACAACUGCGAAAGCAUUUGCCUAAAAUACUUCCAUUAAUCAAGAACGAAAGUUAAGGGAGUGAAGACGAUCAGAUACCGUCGUAAUCUUAACCAUAAACUAUGCCGACUAGGUUUUGGAUGAAAAUUUUUAAAUAAGAUUUCCCUUCGGGGAUUUCUUAGAUUGCUUCCUUCAGUACCUUAUGAGAAAUCAAAGUCUUUGGGUUCUGGGGCGAGUAUUCGCGCAAGCGAGAAAGUUAAAAGAAUUGACGGAAGGGCACCACCAGGCGUGGAGCUUGCGGCUUAAUUUGACUCAACACGGGGAAACUCACUAGUUUAAGACAAGAGUAGGAUUGACAGAUUAAUAGCUCUUUCUUGAUUUCUUGGAUGGUGAUGCAUGGCCGUUUUUAGUUCGUGAAUAUGAUUUGUCUGGUUAAUUCCGAUAACGAACGAGAUCUUAACCUGCUAAUUAGCGGCGAGUACUCUAUAUCCUUUAUUGGGAGAUUGGUUUUGACGUUUAUGUGGGCAUAUUGAUUAAUCAAUUGGUUUACCUUUUGCUCUUUUU
This 1521-nucleotide ribosomal RNA is filed under the name Plasmodium berghei. Its description in RNAcentral is "SSU rRNA". It matches the Rfam family "Eukaryotic small subunit ribosomal RNA", at positions 1 to 1412 of the family's 1831-position model. The record is from RNAcentral. Lineage: Eukaryota; Apicomplexa; Aconoidasida; Haemosporida; Plasmodiidae.